This 371-nucleotide ribosomal RNA is filed under the name uncultured Thermus sp. RNAcentral's name for it is "bacterial SSU rRNA". It matches the Rfam family "Bacterial small subunit ribosomal RNA", at positions 1011 to 1382 of the family's 1533-position model. The record is from RNAcentral. Lineage: Bacteria; Thermotogati; Deinococcota; Deinococci; Thermales; Thermaceae.
GGGUGCCCGCGAGGGAGCCCUAGCACAGGUGCUGCAUGGCCGUCGUCAGCUCGUGCCGUGAGGUGUUGGGUUAAGUCCCGCAACGAGCGCAACCCCCGCGUUAGUUGCCAGCGGUUCGGCCGGGCACUCUAACGGGACUGCCCGCGAAAGCGGGAGGAAGGAGGGGACGACGUCUGGUCAGCAUGGCCCUUACGGCCUGGGCGACACACGUGCUACAAUGCCCACUACAAAGCGAUGCCACCCGGCAACGGGGAGCUAAUCGCAAAAAGGUGGGCCCAGUUCGGAUUGGGGUCUGCAACCCGACCCCAUGAAGCCGGAAUCGCUAGUAAUCGCGGAUCAGCCAUGCCGCGGUGAAUACGUUCCCGGGCCUU